AAACCAGCACCUCAAGUGGUCAGGAUGAUUAUUGGGCCUAAAGCAUCCGUAGCCUGCUCUGUAAGUUUUCGGUUAAAUCUGUACGCUCAACGUACAGGCUGCCGGGAAUACUGCAGAGCUAGGGAGUGGGAGAGGUAGACGGUACUCGGGAGGAAGUGGUAAAAUGCUUUGAUCUCUCGAUGACCACCUGUGGCGAAGGCGGUCUACCAGAACACGUCCGACGGUGAGGGAUGAAAGCUUGGGGAGCAAACCGGAUUAGAAACCCCGGUAGUCC
This 274-nucleotide ribosomal RNA is filed under the name uncultured bacterium. RNAcentral describes it as "partial 16S ribosomal RNA". It matches the Rfam family "Archaeal small subunit ribosomal RNA", at positions 473 to 747 of the family's 1478-position model. The record is from RNAcentral.